This 301-nucleotide ribosomal RNA is filed under the name uncultured bacterium. RNAcentral describes it as "partial 16S ribosomal RNA". It matches the Rfam family "Bacterial small subunit ribosomal RNA", at positions 509 to 807 of the family's 1533-position model. The record is from RNAcentral.
CAGUCGCCGCGGUAAUACGAAGGGGGCUAGCGUUGUUCGGAAUUACUGGGCGUAAAGCGCACGCAGGCGGCUCGAUAAAUUAGAAGUGAAAGCCUUGGGCUUAACCUGAGAAUUGCUUUUAAGACUGUCGAGCUAGAAUCCAGAAGAGGGUAGUGGAAUUCCGAGUGUAGAGGUGAAAUUCGUAGAUAUUCGGAAGAACACCAGUGGCGAAGGCGACUACCUGGUCUGGCAUUGACGCUCAUGUGCGAAAGCGUGGGGAGCAAACAGGAUUAGAUACCCCGGUAGUCCCUGUCUCUUAUAC